This 679-nucleotide ribosomal RNA is filed under the name Curtobacterium sp. I12A-01884. RNAcentral describes it as "bacterial SSU rRNA". It matches the Rfam family "Bacterial small subunit ribosomal RNA", at positions 96 to 788 of the family's 1533-position model. Lineage: Bacteria; Bacillati; Actinomycetota; Actinomycetes; Micrococcales; Microbacteriaceae. The record is from RNAcentral.
UGGCGAACGGGUGAGUAACACGUGAGUAACCUGCCCCUGACUCUGGGAUAAGCGUUGGAAACGACGUCUAAUACUGGAUAUGACUGCCGGCCGCAUGGUCUGGUGGUGGAAAGAUUUUUUGGUUGGGGAUGGACUCGCGGCCUAUCAGCUUGUUGGUGAGGUAAUGGCUCACCAAGGCGACGACGGGUAGCCGGCCUGAGAGGGUGACCGGCCACACUGGGACUGAGACACGGCCCAGACUCCUACGGGAGGCAGCAGUGGGGAAUAUUGCACAAUGGGCGAAAGCCUGAUGCAGCAACGCCGCGUGAGGGAUGACGGCCUUCGGGUUGUAAACCUCUUUUAGUAGGGAAGAAGCGAAAGUGACGGUACCUGCAGAAAAAGCACCGGCUAACUACGUGCCAGCAGCCGCGGUAAUACGUAGGGUGCAAGCGUUGUCCGGAAUUAUUGGGCGUAAAGAGCUCGUAGGCGGUUUGUCGCGUCUGCUGUGAAAUCCCGAGGCUCAACCUCGGGCUUGCAGUGGGUACGGGCAGACUAGAGUGCGGUAGGGGAGAUUGGAAUUCCUGGUGUAGCGGUGGAAUGCGCAGAUAUCAGGAGGAACACCGAUGGCGAAGGCAGAUCUCUGGGCCGUAACUGACGCUGAGGAGCGAAAGCAUGGGGAGCGAACAGGAUUAGAUACCCU